UAGGGAAUCUUCCGCAAUGGGCGAAAGCCUGACGGAGCAACGCCGCGUGAGUGAUGAAGGUCUUCGGAUCGUAAAACUCUGUUUUUAGGGAAGAACAAAUGUGUAAGUAACUAUGCACGUCUUGACGGUACCUAAUCAGAAAGCCACGGCUAACUACGUGCCAGCAGCCGCGGUAAUCCGUAGGUGGCAAGCGUUAUCCGGAAUUAUUGGGCGUAAAGCGCGCGUAGGCGGUUUUUUAAGUCUGAGGUGAAAGCCCACGGCUCAACCGUGGAGGGUCAUUGGAAACUGGAAAACUUGAGUGCAGAAGAGGAGAGGGGAAUUCCAUGUGUAGCGGUAAAAUGGGCAAAGAUAUGGAGGAAAACCAGUGGCGAAGGCGACUUUCUGGUCUGAAACUGACGCUGAUGUGCGAAAGCGUGGGGAUCAAACAGG
Molecule: ribosomal RNA, 429 nt
Filed under: Actinomycetes bacterium
Lineage: Bacteria; Bacillati; Actinomycetota; Actinomycetes
Description: Actinobacteria bacterium partial 16S ribosomal RNA
Rfam family: Bacterial small subunit ribosomal RNA
Source: RNAcentral